UUGAUUGUUUGACUUUGAACAUGGUUGAUGGAUUUUUUUUUUGAGAAAGUUUUGAGUUUUUUUUAGAAAUGAGGAAAGAGAAGGGCUUUGGCGCAACUUAAGCUCUAAUACCAUCCGUAGAUGCAUCUCCGAAAUAAGUUUGAAGAUGUAUCUCCAAAAUGUUUUAAUGUUAAGUCUGAAUUCUAUGUACUUAGGGUGCGUCCG
Molecule: long non-coding RNA, 204 nt
Filed under: Lathyrus oleraceus (garden pea)
Lineage: Eukaryota; Viridiplantae; Streptophyta; Magnoliopsida; Fabales; Fabaceae
Description: Pisum sativum (pea) long non-coding RNA (PSAT_LNC026733)
Source: RNAcentral